Chelonoidis abingdonii (Abingdon island giant tortoise) is the source of this 100-nucleotide non-coding RNA. The record is from RefSeq and is a predicted model, not a curated record. Lineage: Eukaryota; Metazoa; Chordata; Testudines; Testudinidae.
CUCCUCUGUAUAAGAACUGUUGCAACCAUAGGUCCCUGCUUGCAACAAUGAUCUAAACAGUCACAGUUUAUGUCAAUAGCAUAAGAAGGGGUGCCUUGAU